UCAAUUGUCUUAUAAUUGAAGACUGGAAUGAAUGGUUGAACGAAAUUAAAACUGUUUCAUUUGUAUUAAUUAGAAAUUGGUUUUUAAAUGAAGAGAUUUAAAUUUAAUUAAUAGACAAGAAGACCCUAUUGAGCUUAAAAUAACUUUAAAAUUAAAAAUUUAUUAUUAGAGAUUUAAGUUUUAAAUGUUUUUUAGUUGGGGCGACUAAGGAACAGGAGAAGCUUCCUUUAUUUGUUAAAUUGAUGAAUUUUGAUCCAGUAUUGAGCUGAUUAAUGGAGAUAGUUACCAUAGGGAUAACAGCAUAAUCUUCUUGGAGAGUUCUUAUCAAAAAGGGGGGUUGUGACCUCGAUGUUGGAUUAAAAUAUCCUAAGGGUGUAGAGGC
RNAcentral lists this ribosomal RNA (382 nucleotides) under Sinotaia quadrata histrica. RNAcentral describes it as "partial 16S rRNA". It matches the Rfam family "Bacterial large subunit ribosomal RNA", at positions 1965 to 2562 of the family's 2925-position model. Lineage: Eukaryota; Metazoa; Mollusca; Gastropoda; Architaenioglossa; Viviparidae. The record is from RNAcentral.